ACUCCUACGGGAGGCAGCAGUGGGGAAUAUUGCACAAUGGGGGAAACCCUGAUGCAGCCAUGCCGCGUGUGUGAAGAAGGCCUUCGGGUUGUAAAGCACUUUCAGUAGGGAGGAAGGUAGUGUAGUUAACACCUGCAUUAUUUGACGUUACCUACAGAAGAAGCACCGGCUAACUCCGUGCCAGCAGCCGCGGUAAUACGUAGGGUACGAGCGUUGUCCGGAAUUAUUGGGCGUAAAGAGCUCGUAGGUGGUUGGUCACGUCUGCUGUGGAAACGCAACGCUUAACGUUGCGCGUGCAGUGGGUACGGGCUGACUAGAGUGCAGUAGGGGAGUCUGGAAUUCCUGGUGUAGCGGUGAAAUGCGCAGAUAUCAGGAGGAACACCGGUGGCGAAGGCGGGACUCUGGGCUGUAACUGACACUGAGGAGCGAAAGCAUGGGGAGCGAACAGGAUUAGAUACCCUGGUAGGAUAGCGU
Molecule: ribosomal RNA, 474 nt
Filed under: uncultured bacterium
Lineage: Bacteria
Description: bacterial SSU rRNA
Rfam family: Bacterial small subunit ribosomal RNA
Source: RNAcentral